UGUUGGAGUUGUUUCUGUUUUUCCGGAUGAAAAGAGACAACUCCUCACAAUAAGAUCAUGGGAUUAUUGGCUUUACACAAGAGGUGAAAAGACAAAACUAUGAAAGUGAUGUUAUAGUUGGAGUGAUUGAUUCUGGAGUUUGGCCAGAAUCGAAAAGCUUCGAUGAUAAAGGGUUCAGUCCACCACCUGCCAAAUGGAAGGGUUCAUGCCAAGCAUUUGGCCAGAAUCGAAAAGCUUCGAUGAUAAAGGGUUCAGUCCACCACCUGCCAAAUGGAAGGGUUCAUGCCAAGCUUUUGAUUUUACCUGCAAUAAG
RNAcentral lists this long non-coding RNA (313 nucleotides) under Lathyrus oleraceus (garden pea). Its description in RNAcentral is "Pisum sativum (pea) long non-coding RNA (PSAT_LNC037545)". Lineage: Eukaryota; Viridiplantae; Streptophyta; Magnoliopsida; Fabales; Fabaceae. The record is from RNAcentral.